RNAcentral lists this ribosomal RNA (424 nucleotides) under Verrucomicrobiota bacterium. RNAcentral's name for it is "Verrucomicrobia bacterium partial 16S ribosomal RNA". It matches the Rfam family "Bacterial small subunit ribosomal RNA", at positions 355 to 776 of the family's 1533-position model. The record is from RNAcentral. Lineage: Bacteria; Pseudomonadati; Verrucomicrobiota.
UGAGGAAUAUUGGUCAAUGGACGAGAGUCUGAACCAGCCAAGUAGCGUGCAGGAUGACGGCCCUAUGGGUUGUAAACUGCUUUUGUUUGGGAAUAAUCGACAUUACGUGUAAUGUUUUGCAUGUACCAUUCGAAUAAGGACCGGCUAAUUCCGUGCCAGCAGCCGCGGUAAUACGGAAGGUCCAGGCGUUAUCCGGAUUUAUUGGGUUUAAAGGGAGUGUAGGCGGUUGGUUAAGCGUGUUGUGAAAUGUAGAUGCUCAACAUCUGACUUGCAGCGCGAAAUGGCUGACUUGAGUACACACAACGUAGGCGGAAUUCAUGGUGUAGCGGUGAAAUGCUUAGAUAUCAUGAAGAACUCCGAUUGCGAAGGCAGCUUAAGGGAGCGAAAAAGAAGCUGAAGCUCGAAGGUGCGGGUAUCGAACAGG